Triticum aestivum (bread wheat) is the source of this 588-nucleotide long non-coding RNA. RefSeq lists it as uncharacterized. The record is from RefSeq and is a predicted model, not a curated record. NCBI's taxonomy places the organism in Eukaryota, Viridiplantae, Streptophyta, Magnoliopsida, Poales, Poaceae. The transcript is spliced from 3 exons.
CGAACUGACACCUUGCCCUGUUCUCUCCCCACGCGAGCGGCGAGCCGCCAGGAGGCCACGGCGGUUGCCAUCGCCUGCUCGGCGAUUGGACGUGCGAACGGCGGCCCGGACGGCGCGACGAAUUCAUCCCCCGCUUACCCUCGUUCUGAUCCAGCAGCGGGCAGCAGCCAGCAGGCAUUGGUUCAGUUUCAAAGGCACAACCCACAGAUUCAGUCCAACUGAAUAAUAUAUCGCUGCAGGCAGGAGCAGAAUUUUCUUCUCGUGCUGUUAAGGAGGAUGCACUACAGUACAUACAAACAAAAGGCAUAUUUCCUUCAGGACCAGACAACACUGCCGGUGGAGUGAGUCUGAGGAGGAUACUGGAGUUCGCUCUUCAUCCCGUGCUGUAGAGGAGUGUGAGGAGGAGGAACAUGACUGGUGAUGCCUUGGAGUUCUACUACCACCUGUGUUGUAGGUGUCCUCUCUGCCUUUUUUGUGUCUCGAUGCCAAAGGGGGAGAGAGUGUAGGAUUUGCGAGUCUUGUGUCGCUUUGCUUUUGUUUGUUGGUUUGUGGUUGUGUUCGUGUGAGACCAGGAGACUAUCAUAUGGU